UAGCCACCCACCCCUCCCGACUGCCACCCUUGCAAACUCCAGACUCCAGUACCAAACAGAAACCCAGCUCCUACUUUGUUGCUUUGUUGUUGGGGGGUGAGGGCAUUAGGAAUGGAACCCAGGGCCUUAACUUGCUUGCUAGGCAAUUGUUGCACUAAGCUAUAUCCCCAGCCUGUAAUUGUUUUUGUUGUUGUUUUGGAACUAUAUUCCAUGCUGACAUCAAUCUUCCUGACUCACCUCCUGAUUAGAGGUAAACUAGUUAUUUUGUAGAGUCAAAUCCCCACAAUAAAUAUUUUCUUUUGCCUGUUUAUACUUUCUACUAGUUCUGCUACUCUCGGGUUCCAGAAUGAGGAAAACCUGGUUGCCACAUGUUCAGUUUGCCUAUAAUACAUAGGCCCUAAAUGCCAAGUUUACUGUGUGUCUGGCAGUUGAUAGUGACAAAAGACCAACACAUGAUUCUUGGGCUGUCUAAUUAUCAGAUAGUGUCUCAGUCUGACGAACUCCUGCCCUCUUCCCUUCAUCUCUCAUGUUUUGGGAUGUACCACCACACCCAGAGGUUUUCUUUUCCCCUUCAGUGCUAAGAAUUGAAUCUGGAGUCCCAAGCACACUGGAAAGUUCUUUACCAGUGAACAUCUUCAUCCUCCUGUGAUGUGACAAUUAGGGGAGGGGUUGCAGAAUAUAAUCAAAAGAGUCCUGGAUUCUUACCUGAAGUUUACAGCCGAC
This 723-nucleotide long non-coding RNA is filed under the name Cricetulus griseus (Chinese hamster). RNAcentral describes it as "lncRNA (ENSCGRG00015033816.1)". The record is from RNAcentral. Lineage: Eukaryota; Metazoa; Chordata; Mammalia; Rodentia; Cricetidae.